UAGGGAAUCUUCGGCAAUGGACGAAAGUCUGACCGAGCAACGCCGCGUGAGUGAAGAAGGUUUUCGGAUCGUAAAACUCUGUUGUUAGAGAAGAACAAGGACGUUAGUAACUGAACGUCCCCUGACGGUAUCUAACCAGAAAGCCACGGCUAACUACGUGCCAGCAGCCGCGGUAAUACGUAGGUGGCAAGCGUUGUCCGGAUUUAUUGGGCGUAAAGCGAGGGCAGGCGGUUUCUUAAGUCUGAUGUGAAAGCCCCCGGCUCAACCGGGGAGGGUCAUUGGAAACUGGGAGACUUGAGUGCAGAAGAGGAGAGUGGAAUUCCAUGUGUAGCGGUGAAAUGCGUAGAUAUAUGAAUGAACACCAGUGGCGAGGGCGGCUCUCUGGUCUGUAACUGACGCUGAGGCUCGAAAGCGUGGGGAGCGAACAGG
Molecule: ribosomal RNA, 429 nt
Filed under: Gemmatimonadota bacterium
Lineage: Bacteria; Pseudomonadati; Gemmatimonadota
Description: Gemmatimonadetes bacterium partial 16S ribosomal RNA
Rfam family: Bacterial small subunit ribosomal RNA
Source: RNAcentral